Molecule: ribosomal RNA, 1656 nt
Filed under: Escherichia coli
Lineage: Bacteria; Pseudomonadati; Pseudomonadota; Gammaproteobacteria; Enterobacterales; Enterobacteriaceae
Description: partial 23S ribosomal RNA
Rfam family: Bacterial large subunit ribosomal RNA
Source: RNAcentral
CGAAUGCUGACAUAAGUAACGAUAAAGCGGGUGAAAAGCCCGCUCGCCGGAAGACCAAGGGUUCCUGUCCAACGUUAAUCGGGGCAGGGUGAGUCGACCCCUAAGGCGAGGCCGAAAGGCGUAGUCGAUGGGAAACAGGUUAAUAUUCCUGUACUUGGUGUUACUGCGAAGGGGGGACGGAGAAGGCUAUGUUGGCCGGGCGACGGUUGUCCCGGUUUAAGCGUGUAGGCUGGUUUUCCAGGCAAAUCCGGAAAAUCAAGGCUGAGGCGUGAUGACGAGGCACUACGGUGCUGAAGCAACAAAUGCCCUGCUUCCAGGAAAAGCCUCUAAGCAUCAGGUAACAUCAAAUCGUACCCCAAACCGACACAGGUGGUCAGGUAGAGAAUACCAAGGCGCUUGAGAGAACUCGGGUGAAGGAACUAGGCAAAAUGGUGCCGUAACUUCGGGAGAAGGCACGCUGAUAUGUAGGUGAAGUCCCUCGCGGAUGGAGCUGAAAUCAGUCGAAGAUACCAGCUGGCUGCAACUGUUUAUUAAAAACACAGCACUGUGCAAACACGAAAGUGGACGUAUACGGUGUGACGCCUGCCCGGUGCCGGAAGGUUAAUUGAUGGGGUUAGCGGUAACGCGAAGCUCUUGAUCGAAGCCCCGGUAAACGGCGGCCGUAACUAUAACGGUCCUAAGGUAGCGAAAUUCCUUGUCGGGUAAGUUCCGACCUGCACGAAUGGCGUAAUGAUGGCCAGGCUGUCUCCACCCGAGACUCAGUGAAAUUGAACUCGCUGUGAAGAUGCAGUGUACCCGCGGCAAGACGGAAAGACCCCGUGAACCUUUACUAUAGCUUGACACUGAACAUUGAGCCUUGAUGUGUAGGAUAGGUGGGAGGCUUUGAAGUGUGGACGCCAGUCUGCAUGGAGCCGGCCUUGAAAUACCACCCUUUAAUGUUUGAUGUUCUAACGUUGGCCCCUGAUCGGGGUUGCGGACAGUGUCUGGUGGGUAGUUUGACUGGGGCGGUCUCCUCCUAAAGAGUAACGGAGGAGCACGAAGGUUGGCUAAUCCUGGUCGGACAUCAGGAGGUUAGUGCAAUGGCAUAAGCCAGCUUGACUGCGAGCGUGACGGCGCGAGCAGGUGCGAAAGCAGGUCAUAGUGAUCCGGUGGUUCUGAAUGGAAGGGCCAUCGCUCAACGGAUAAAAGGUACUCCGGGGAUAACAGGCUGAUACCGCCCAAGAGUUCAUAUCGACGGCGGUGUUUGGCACCUCGAUGUCGGCUCAUCACAUCCUGGGGCUGAAGUAGGUCCCAAGGGUAUGGCUGUUCGCCAUUUAAAGUGGUACGCGAGCUGGGUUUAGAACGUCGUGAGACAGUUCGGUCCCUAUCUGCCGUGGGCGCUGGAGAACUGAGGGGGGCUGCUCCUAGUACGAGAGGACCGGAGUGGACGCAUCACUGGUGUUCGGGUUGUCAUGCCAAUGGCACUGCCCGGUAGCUAAAUGCGGAAGAGAUAAGUGCUGAAAGCAUCUAAGCACGAAACUUGCCCCGAGAUGAGUUCUCCCUGACUCCUUGAGAGUCCUGAAGGAACGUUGAAGACGACGACGUUGAUAGGCCGGGUGUGUAAGCGCAGCGAUGCGUUGAGCUAACCGGUACUAAUGAACCGUGAGGCUUAACCUU